CGCGGCCUAUCAGCUUGUUGGUGAGGUAAUGGCUCACCAAGGCGUCGACGGGUAGCCGGCCUGAGAGGGUGACCGGCCACACUGGGACUGAGACACGGCCCAGACUCCUACGGGAGGCAGCAGUGGGGAAUAUUGCACAAUGGGCGGAAGCCUGAUGCAGCAACGCCGCGUGAGGGAUGACGGCCUUCGGGUUGUAAACCUCUUUUAGCAGGGAAGAAGCGAGAGUGACGGUACCUGCAGAAAAAGCGCCGGCUAACUACGUGCCAGCAGCCGCGGUAAUACGUAGGGCGCAAGCGUUAUCCGGAAUUAUUGGGCGUAAAGAGCUCGUAGGCGGUUUGUCGCGUCUGCUGUGAAAUCCCGAGGCUCAACCUCGGGCCUGCAGUGGGUACGGGCAGACUAGAGUGCGGUAGGGGAGAUUGGAAUUCCUGGUGUAGCGGUGGAAUGCGCAGAUAUCAGGAGGAACACCGAUGGCGAAGGCAGAUCUCUGGGCCGUAACUGACGCUGAGGAGCGAAAGGGUGGGGAGCAAACAGGCUUAGAUACCCUGGUAGUCCACCCCGUAAACGUUGGGAACUAGUUGUGGGGUCCAUUCCACGGAUUCCGUGACGCAGCUAACGCAUUAAGUUCCCCGCCUGGGGAGUACGG
Molecule: ribosomal RNA, 643 nt
Filed under: uncultured Actinomycetes bacterium
Lineage: Bacteria; Bacillati; Actinomycetota; Actinomycetes
Description: bacterial SSU rRNA
Rfam family: Bacterial small subunit ribosomal RNA
Source: RNAcentral